Kwoniella mangroviensis CBS 10435 is the source of this 121-nucleotide ribosomal RNA. NCBI's taxonomy places the organism in Eukaryota, Fungi, Basidiomycota, Tremellomycetes, Tremellales, Cryptococcaceae. The record is from Rfam.
AUCUACGGCCAUAGAAGGUAUAGAACGCCCCAUCCCGUCCGCUCUGGGGAGCUUUAAGCUACCUAUCGCCUGGCUAGUACCAAGGUGGGGGACAACUUGGGAAUCCCAGGUGCUGUAGUUU